CUGCCACAAGCUCUGAUCUGACUCCAGAAUUCCCCGUCCAUCUCGAACAUUUUUGAAGAAAGAACGAUCAAAAUUGUUACCGCUCCCGUAGUCCAAAGCGAUACGUUUAUUUCCAUCGCCAUUUUUAGGGCAAAGCGAUUGGAGUGUAGGAAGGAACGAGGGAUCGAUGGUAGGAUCAGCACCCCCGGAGUUUGUGAAGUUGUAUAAUCUGUAGCUCACGAAUUGGCAAGCCACUGUUCCAAUAGUGUGUCCUCCUGCAACACAUUUUUGUACUAUAUGGUUUAGAAUGUUGCAUGCAUGCAGAUAGAAAAAUUUCGGAUGUCUGAUAAACGUAUGUAAUAUUGGCUUAUUGCUUACCAACAAGGGUAACAAGAUCUUGAGCGCUUAGACCAACAUCUGCAAAUUUUUUCUUCUGGACCGCGACUGAGUCUGUGAAACUCGGCAAAUUGGCGGUGUCGGACGCCAAUGACACUCGUCCGUCUCUCCGGCCAGUAGGCACGCGAUAAGUCAGUGCACCGACCUGCAUGUGAAAACAUAAGAACAAUGAGAUGCUGAUAUAACAAUGAUCCUACUUCGAAAUAGCAUAAAUUAUUUGAAUUUUUUGGUUAAAAUCAUAUAUAGCACAUUCGAAACAUUUAUCUUACUUCUACUGUGGCAUCACGAGCAGCAAGAGCAAGAAUAUCAGCACACGACACGACUCCGGGGCAUGCUGCCUCUAGCUGUGUUUUGGCAUCCUCAAUCACUUCAUAUCCUCUCAGCAGAAGAUUUGGCCUAGCGGUUUUCUCAGCAUUGCUGCCAUCGAUAAGAAUCGAAGCAUCGCAACCAUGAACGAAGCAAUCAUGGAAGACCAUUCUGAGCAGUCCGGGGGCAACAGUGGAAUCGGAGUUAACAUGUUUCUUAACGGUGGCUUGAACGAUGGAUUCCGCUCUGGGACAAGAGGUGGAAUAGAAGCCGACCCUAGUCUGAGCUAGAGCUAAGGGUGUGGCGACUAGAAGAACAAAUAGAAUAGAGAGUUUGCUAAGGAAAGAAUCCAUUUGAGUUUGUUAUGUGUUGUUAUAAAUUGAUUGUGUGUUUAGAGGAAACGAAGGUGGUGUAUUUAUAGGGACAUAAAAGUGCUAAAAUGGGCUAAACGUGUGGAGACCAGAGAGAACCAGGGUCAAUGAAAAAUACGUGGCAACGGAUUGGAAAAGUUGUCCACUGGUGAGUUGUAGUCCACUCUCGGGCUGCCCAAGUUGUUUGAUUCGUUGAUUGAUAGAAGAGUCAAAUGAAUGUUCAUACAUGCGGUUGCAUAGUUUAAGUUCAAUUUAUGUCAGAUUUUCUCAGACACGUACUCAGUGGAUUAAUAUUUUGGCAUUUACCUCAUAUAUACAUAAAAGUUUGCUCAGAAACUAAUUCCUUCUUGUAAAUUAUAGAGUAAUAAUUAUUGAUUAGAUAUUCAAAAUUCCAACAAUUAUGGACUUACUCGAAAUUCAUUUUACGGUCUUAAAUCAUCGUACAUGCAGUAUUCUAAAAAUCCCCGAUUUAACCGAUAAAUCCCCUGCAAGGUCGGCCACCGAUUCGAUUUUUUAAAUCCGAUUAAUCCUUAUAUAUAUUCCUUAAUCGAAGUAUAUAUGAUAAAUUAUUAAAAUUAAAAUACUAUAUUACUUUAAGUAUGGUUUAUUAUAGAGUUUAUGAAUAUGGUAAAGAUAUUAGUUACUAAAUAGCUAAUAUAAUAAUAACUAAAUAUUAAAUAAUAUUUUAAUAUAAAAACAAAACCGAUUUUCACUCCGAUUAAUCCUUGCGAUUAAUCUCCGAUUUCCGAUUAAUCCCUGAAUCGGUAGCUCAACCGAUUAAGUCCGAUUCUCGAUUUCUGUAACACUGCAUACAUGUAUAAAUAAUAUCUCUAUCAUUUUUUUUUUAAUUUAUACUCAUUUUAUUCUAUUACAUCCACUCCAACUAAACACAACAUAAUUGUGUGUUUGUGUGUAAGCCUAAUAUUACAACUCUUGAAACAUAAUUUGAAAUUAGUUUUACAAAACUAUAUUUGAAAUGUUGUAAAUCAUUGUGCUUGCGGAAAAUGGUGAAGUGGGAACCGGAAAAGAAGCUUAAAUAAGUGUGAAACGCAUACGCAGGCGAAUACCUUGAUGUUACGUUCUAUCAAGGAAACUAAAGUAAUGGCGAAGCUGUUGCAAACUUAAUUUUGUGUGGAGUAUUAGUACUCCAAAUGGAUAGCGUAAACAUGUUUUCUAUUACAAAGUUGUUAGGGUGUCAAAUACUCCGCUAACACUGACAUGCAUGCAUUCCAUGAUUAAAAAACUAAAAAUUACUAAAAGAGAAGGUGGAAACUAUUGACUCGGGGUUCAGCAAAAGUUUUCAAAAGAGUCAAAGCAAUGCGUGUGGGGUCGCGAAUAACUUACUCUGCAUUAUCAUGAAACUUCCUGCACUAGUAUUUAACUAUUCUUUGUCAAGCCUUCUACUUUACUCCCUCAAUUUGUUUUAUUUAACAUUUUAAUUUUUCACACGUAUUUUCUGGUGAAGUGAUCUGAUAAUAUAAUUAUUUUUAUUAUAUUUUUGCCAAUUAUGAUAUUGAUUAUAUAUUUUUAUUCUGAAAAUUAAAAUUUUGAAUUAUUUUUAGUUAUCUAGUCAGAAUAUUUAAAAAUAUGUAUUAGAAACCAAACGUCGAAUAAAAUAAUAAGAUCGAGCUAUAUGUCUAUCAGGGAGGCAAAAACCGCAUGCUGUAUAUGACUGUUCUCAAAAUCUACGUGCCGUGAUAAUCAAAUAGCGGUUUCGUAAAAGAGUGUGAGAAUAAAUUAAAGAGUUUAAGAAGUAAUUAUUCCAGUUAGUUUUCGAUACCUCUUGUGCAAAAAUACAAAUUUUUGCAUAAAACACAGAACUCCUCAUAUUUAAUUUAGAUGGAAUUAAAACACAAAAUAUAUUGUCUUUAAAUGAUUCUACUGAAUAUAUUUUUAAUCAUCGACAGAUUUUGGGAGGACAAAUUUCAAUCUGAACCCUGCAUCAUUCUUUUGAUCACAAAAGAUAUUAAUCAAAAACUUGUCUUCGUCUUCUCUGUUCAUAAGUCAGCUUUUACGCAACAGCUAUUUCAUUAAAGUUUUCUAAAGAUUAUUCAUGUUCGAUAGAAAAUUAUUGUCAGACAUUUUAAUUCACAAAUUAUAUUUCAAAAAUAUUACUAUUUCAUUUGAAAAUUUUAAAAUGUUAUAUAUAUAUUUCACCUUAAAUAUUUUAUUUGCUGAGUUUUGCAGGACAUCUUAUUCACGAUUACAUAUUUUUCUACUCCAUCACAUGGUUUUUUUGCUUACUUUUUAGUUAAACCAGUCAUUGUGUCCGACAGCAAAACCAACACGGACUAUAGGUAUCGAGGACGAUUUCUCUCUGAUGCUAUAGGUAUAUUAUUUGUGUGUAUGGUAGAAUGUAUAUCUAUUAUUUUUUUUUGUCACUUUAUAUGGCAAUUUUUCUUAGCUGUGAUAAUAGAUGAAAACAUGAGCUGAGUUGCUUUUGAGUUUUGACAUAUAAUGUUCAUGGAGAGUUUCAUGUUAAAUGCCUAAAAAAUGUUUACGGAGUAAGGCUGACAGACUAUAUGCACGUAGUAUGAAAAAGUAAGGGGCGACGGGCGUCAUCAGCUCACCUUCACUACAAUAAAAUCGGGUACUUACGACAGAAAUUCGUAUCUAAAAAACAGCGCCGUCCUUGGAUCCGGCACUUCUCCCUUAUUUUUCAUUUGAAAAAAUAUUUAUAAAAAACUUAUGACAUCGUACUCUAGUAUUAUAAUUAUUUGAUUUUUUCAAUUGAAAAAAUAUUAAAAUAUAUAAAAAGCUUACAACGGAUUCGUUUUUCGUCGUAACAAUUUAAGACGGAACUCUACUAAUCCAUAGUAACUUUAUACGCGUGGUCCCUCAUAAGUUAUCUGUUACUAUAACUUAUAAAUGACUUUAUUUGUUGUAGCGCUUGUCGUAUACCCCGGCCUGGUAUAAUUGGCCCCAUCUCCUUCAUUCUAUGCACCACCGUAUAUUUGACUGAACAGACACAUUGCAUCACCAGAUGCCCCACCAUUCAUGAAAUCCCAGUUUUAGUAGAAUAGCACUCAAAUAAGUGAAUAACUCCACUCAAUCUUGUCAUAGCCUUAGCCAUGUCCAACUUAAACGCCAUAAACCCCUCCUUUCCUGUUCUCUUUAGUUUGUGAUAGUGCAUGACUUCAUAACUUAUAAUUAGAAUAUCUAUCUAGGGUUAAAUUUGUAGUGAUAAAUUAAAAUUAAUUUUUUAAUUAAACCGAUCGAUCACAAAAUUAUAAUGUCUUUUCAUUAUAUUUUAUUUUAUAUCAAUUUUUCAGUAUUUGAAUAUCAAAUUCUUAAAAUCAAAAUUAUUUUAAUUUGUAUAUAUCGAUAUAUACAGAAAUCAAUGAUUACUGGGUUAGUCAUUGAUAUUAUAAGAUUAAAAAAAAAUAUCGUAUACUAUUGGGUUUAUUUCCAUCGCCAUUUUUAGGGCAAAGCGAUUGGAGUGUAGGAAGGAACGAGGGAUCGAUGGUAGGAUCAGCACCCCCGGAGUUUGUGAAGUUGUAUAAUCUGUAGCUCACGAAUUGGCAAGCCACUGUUCCAAUAGUGUGUCCUCCUGCAACACAUUUUUGUACUAUAUGGUUUAGAAUGUUGCAUGCAUGCAGAUAGAAAAAUUUCGGAUGUCUAUAAACGUAUGUAAUAUUGGCUUAUUGCUUACCAACAAGAGUUACAAGAUCUUGAGCGCUAAGACCAACAUCUGCAAAUUUUUUCUUCUGGACCGCGACUGAGUCUGUGAAACUCGGCAAAUUGGCGGUGUCGGACGCCAAUGACACUCGUCCAUCUCUCCGGCCAGUAGGCACGCGAUAAGUCAGUGCACCGACCUGCAUGUGAAACAUGGGAACAAUGAGAACUGAUAUAACAAUGAUCCUAUUAUGCUGCAGAAAUAUUUGAAUUAUUUUCUUAAAACCGCGAAUAUAGCACAUUCGAAACAUUUAUCGUACUUCGACUGUGGCAUCACGAGCAGCCAGAGCAAGAAUAUCAGCACAAGACACGACUCCGGGGCAUGCUGCCUCUAGCUGUGUUUUGGCAUCCUGAAUGACUUCAUAUCCUCUUAACAAAAGAUUUGGCCUAGCUGUUUUCUCAGCAUUGCUGCCAUCGAUAAGAAUCGAUGCAUCGCAGCCAUGAACGAAGCAAUCGUGGAAGACCAUUCUGAGCAAUCCUGGGGCAACAGUGGAAUCGGAGUUAACAUGUUUUUUAACGGUGGCUUGAACGAUGGAUUCCGCUCUGGGACAAGAGGUGGAAUAGAAGCCGACCCUAGUCUGAGCUAGAGCUAAGGGUGUGGCGAGUAGAAGAACAAAUAGAAUAGAGAGUUUGCUAAGGAAAGAAUCCAUUUGAGUUUGUAAUGUGUUGUUGUUAUAUAUAAGUUGAUUGUGAGUUUAAAGGAAACGAAGGUAAAAUAAUAGUACUUUUGAUGAUGUGGCAUGACAUGGACCGGCACUCUCGUUAGCACCCCCAUUGGAGAUGUUGGAGUGCUAUUGGGGUGCCAAGUGAGUUGGCUUUGGGGUGCCAAAAGUUAGCAACCCAUAAAGUAGGGUGCCAACUUCUUUUGUAGUCCCAAUAAUACAUAAAAUAUAGAUUUGUGGUCCCCAAUAAUACAUAGAAUAUUAUCUCUAUUAAUAAAGUUGGCAUUUUGGAGUGCCAACCAUUGUAGUGUAUUUUGAAAUAAGGGUGCUAGAAAUGAUUUGGAAGAAUGAGAAUAUAAAAAAUAAUAUUUUGAGUUAUGUGUCAAAAUUGACACCCAUCGAAGGGUGCCAACCAUCGGAGAUGCUCUAAUUAAGACACCAUAUGGUUGGGCUUUUAACACACUUGUCCGGCUUGCUGCCUUCACCCAACAAACUGACCUAUUUAUCACGCAUCACAAUUCGAAUGCAAUCUAGACAUCAUAUUUUUCUUAUUUGCUUCCUGCCAAUCCAUAAUCUGUUUAGAGCUCAUCUCGAACAUGUACUCGAGUCAGUUUCAUUCUCUUGCAAGACUUUCCAGUUCCUUGCAAACCAAACUCCUGCUAAAACCUUAUCAAUGCCGAUCAAAUUAUUCGUUGACUCUGAUAUGCUGCGCCUGCACAUUCUACCUCCCGCAUAUCUAACUCAAUUUUCUGAAAUGUUUCAGAUUGCGCGAGUUAGUAGUACAUGACAAACGUACAGCAUUCGGUUUAAUCGUUUCUUUUCUGUGGGCUCCUUGUGUUUGUAAAAUGACAGCUUAUUUAAAAGCUAAAUAAAUUUCUCCAGAAAGUUCUAUUCAAACUCGCAAACCGCAGAGACAGCUAAUUAAAUCAUAACUAAAUGAUAACACUACAAGAAAACAGUCAAUAGACAUCGGUUUUUGAUGUGGCAUAUAAUAGUACUUUUGAUGAUGUGGCAUGACAUGGACCGGCACUCUCGUUAGCACCCCCAUUGGAGAUGUUGGAGUGCUAUUGGGGUGCCAAGUGAGUUGGCUUUGGGGUGCCAAAAGUUGGCAACCCAUAAAGUAGGGUGCCAACUUCUUUUGUAGUCCCAAUAAUACAUAAAAUAUAGAUUUGUGGUCCCAAUAAUACAUAGAAUAUUAUCUCUAUUAAUAAAGUUGGCAUUUUGGAGUGCCAACCAUUGUAGUGUAUUUUGAAAUAAGGGUGCUAGAAAUGAUUUGGAAGAAUGAGAAUAUAAAAAAUAAUAUUUUGAGUUAUGUGUCAAAAUUGACACCCAUCGAAGGGUGCCAACCAUCGGAGAUGCUCUAAUUAAGACACCAUAUGGUUGGGCUUUUAACACACUUGUCCGGCUUGCUGCCUUCACCCAACAAACUGACCUAUUUAUCACGCAUCACAAUUCGAAUGCAAUCUAGACAUCAUAUUUUUCUUAUUUGCUUCCUGCCAAUCCAUAAUCUGUUUAGAGCUCAUCUCGAACAUGUACUCGAGUCAGUUUCAUUCUCUUGCAAGACUUUCCAGUUCCUUGCAAACCAAACUCCUGCUAAAACCUUAUCAAUGCCGAUCAAAUUAUCCGUUGACUCUGAUAUGCUGCGCCUGCACAUUCUACCUCCCGCAUAUCUAACUCAAUUUUCUGAAAUGUUUCAGAUUGCGCGAGUUAGUAGUACAUGACAAACGUACAGCAUUCGGUUUAAUCGUUUCUUUUCUGUGGGCUCCUUGUGUUUGUAAAAUGACAGCUUAUUUAAAAGCUAAAUAAAUUUCUCCAGAAAGUUCUAUUCAAACUCGCAAACCGCAGAGACAGCUAAUUAAAUCAUAACUAAAUGAUAACACUACAAGAAAACAGUCAAUAGACAUCGGUUUUUAACCGAUGUCUAUGUUCUUUCCGGACCGAUGUCUUUGUCGGUGAUGUCUAUAUAUAGACAUCGGUCAAAAACCGAUGUCUGAAAUAAGAUAUGUGUGAGAGAAGACGUACCCACUUCGAUUCAAACUUACCAAGCUGAGUAGAGAGUAGAGAACACCGGAGAUAGGUGAUGAGUGGUGGUGAGCGGAGCGGCAGUGAUGAGUGAGCAGUAGUGUUGAGCGGAGCGGUGGUGAGCGGUGGUGAGCGGGCUGAGUGGGUGGUGAGCGGUGGUGAGUGGGUGGGCUGAGUGAGAGAGAUGGUCGAGAGAUCAGAGAGAUAGUCGAGAGAGAGAGGUCGAGUGAGAGAGAGAGUCGAGUGAGAGAGUUUGUAAGAAAUGUUGUAGUUAUUUUAGUUAUUAGUUUAGAUUUUUGAUUUUAAUUUUAUGUUAAAUAUGUCUGAAGAGAAGGAGAGAAGCCUAAAAUGUUCUAAGGCGGAGGAAUAUUUGGUUCUAACGCGGGGUUUUUUUGACUAAGGAGGGGAGAGAGGGAUGGCCGUGUGUUUUGAAUUUUUUUAAUGAUAUUUUAGACAUCGGUUUAAAUUUAAUUGAUGUCUUAAAAUGCUAAAGACAUCGCCUCUAGAAUGGGUGAUGUUAAAAACAUUUUUAACAUCGGCGGCAAAUCUGACCGAUGUCUGACCUAUGAUGUCUAUUAACAAGUUUCUUGUAGUGUAAAAACACAUAUUUCGCGCCAUUUUAUUAUUCCUUCCAAUUAUUUCACAUAAUUUAUGAUGUUUAAAUAUCUAAUUUUAAUUGUUAUGUCAAAAAAAAAUCUCAACAAAAAUAUAAACUAUACACUUUUGUUGAUUUACGAAAUGGAAAAUUUAAAUAUAUUUAAAUAUUUUAAAUUACAUGGAAAAAUUCGAAUAAGAUGUAAAGGGAGGGGAGCACUAUUUUGCGACUGAUAGAUGGAAUUGCAUGCUUAUAUUACAUAACCUUCCCUACUCAAGUUUCAAAUUGUUAUUGUUUAAAAAAAAGUAGGGUUUUGGAAACCCCCCCAAAUUCUACAUCCUUUUUAAUUAAUUGCUGAACAAAUUUUGCGAAUUUCACCGGCACUCCCCGUCUUCACUCCAACAUUCAUCAUUUUGAUCAUGGCCUUUCCAAACUCAACAUUCAGAGUCAGUCCAGCCAAUCCUCUAAUACCCAUAAAUCUCUGUGCAUCUCGUACAUUUUUGAAGAACGAACGAUCAAAAUUGUCGCCACUUCCAUAAUCUAACGGGAUUCGUUUGUUUCCAUCACCAUUUUGCGGGCAAAGAGAUUGGAGUGUAGGAAGGAAUUUGGAAUUGAUUGUUGGAUCCGCACCGCUAGUAUUUUUGAAGUUGUAUAGUCUGUAACUUACGAAUUGGCAUGCAACGGUUCCAAUAGUGUGUCCUCC
RNAcentral lists this long non-coding RNA (8709 nucleotides) under Daucus carota (carrot). RNAcentral's name for it is "long non-coding RNA (DCAR_LNC000358)". Lineage: Eukaryota; Viridiplantae; Streptophyta; Magnoliopsida; Apiales; Apiaceae. The record is from RNAcentral.